GAAGUCAUUAAGGUAAUGCUUAUAGAAAUAGGAAGGAAGUAAGGUAUGGCCUAGUCUAAGGCGAGAGAAUGAGGAAAUUAUUAUUUUCCAACUGAGGUUUGACUUUUGGAACCAAGCAUUGUGCCGUAUAGCAGGAGAAAUGUUCCUAUACCAGGAAACAUAGCUAAGAGGCAGACUUGACCAUUGGUUAGCCCACAUUUGACCUACGUGAGAUUUUAACAUUGGAAAGCAAUCAAUUCAAGGAAUAAGAGAAAAAGUGGAUUUAGCCAAAGAAUCAGCAAUUUCAUUACCCUGGAUAUCUGCAUGACCGGGAAUCCAUAGAAACUCAAUCACAAACCACCAGGUAAGAUUGUAUAAGUAUUACUUUAUACUGACAGAGAUAGAAGAGGGAGGU
This is a non-coding RNA of Cinara cedri, 394 nucleotides long. The record is from the annotation of a GenBank genome assembly. Lineage: Eukaryota; Metazoa; Arthropoda; Insecta; Hemiptera; Aphididae.